GAUGAACGCUAGCGGCAGGCCUAACACAUGCAAGUCGAGGGGUAGAGUUAGCUUGCUAACUUGAGACCGGCGCACGGGUGCGUAACGCGUAUGCAAUCUACCUUAUACAGAGGGAUAGCCCAGAGAAAUUUGGAUUAAUACCUCAUAGUAUUAUCGAGUGGCAUCAUUUGAUAAUUAAAGUUCCAACGGUAUAAGAUGAGCAUGCGUCCCAUUAGUUAGUUGGUAAGGUAACGGCUUACCAAGACUAUGAUGGGUAGGGGUCCUGAGAGGGAGAUCCCCCACACUGGUACUGAGACACGGACCAGACUCCUACGGGAGGCAGCAGUGAGGAAUAUUGGACAAUGGGCGCAAGCCUGAUCCAGCCAUGCCGCGUGCAGGAAGACGGUCCUAUGGAUUGUAAACUGCUUUUAUACAGGAAGAAACAUCUCUACGUGUAGAGACUUGACGGUACUGUAAGAUAAGGACUCGGCUAACUCCGUGCCAG
This 484-nucleotide ribosomal RNA is filed under the name uncultured bacterium. RNAcentral's name for it is "bacterial SSU rRNA". It matches the Rfam family "Bacterial small subunit ribosomal RNA", at positions 28 to 511 of the family's 1533-position model. The record is from RNAcentral.